UCGGAUAUGGUGUAACGGCCAACAUUGCCGCCUCUCAUUGACUUGCGCGGCAGCUCGGGGUUCGAUUCCCCGUAUCCGAA
This 80-nucleotide transfer RNA is filed under the name Schizophyllum amplum. Its description in RNAcentral is "Auriculariopsis ampla tRNA-Glu". It matches the Rfam family "tRNA". Rfam says of the family: Transfer RNA (tRNA) molecules are approximately 80 nucleotides in length. Their secondary structure includes four short double-helical elements and three loops (D, anti-codon, and T loops). The record is from RNAcentral. Lineage: Eukaryota; Fungi; Basidiomycota; Agaricomycetes; Agaricales; Schizophyllaceae.